This 66-nucleotide transfer RNA is filed under the name Iridona iridescens. RNAcentral's name for it is "Moerella iridescens tRNA-Glu". It matches the Rfam family "tRNA". From Rfam's summary of the family: Transfer RNA (tRNA) molecules are approximately 80 nucleotides in length. The record is from RNAcentral. Lineage: Eukaryota; Metazoa; Mollusca; Bivalvia; Cardiida; Tellinidae.
GCUUUUGUGGUGUAAUAAACACAUUAGAUUUUCGAUCUAAAGUUGAAACAAAAGUUUUCAAAAGUU